GCAUGAUCUUGGCUCACUGAAACCUCUGUCUCCCGGGUUCAACCGAUUCUCCUGCCUCAGCCUCCCAAGUAGCUGGGAUUAUAGGCACCCACCACCAUGCCUGGCUAAUUUUUGUAUUUUUAAUAGAGACGGGGGCUUCACCGUGUUGGCCAGGCUUGUCUUGACCUCCUGACCUCAGGUGAUCCACCCAACUUAGCCUCCCAAAGUGCUGGGAUUACAGGCAUGAGCCACCGCUCCCGGCCUCUUGCACUGAAGUCCAAAGGCCAGAAGAACCCGGAGGCUUUCGGCGUUUCCGCCUUUGCCUUCCGAUGUCCAUUCCCAUCUGAGCAGUCAUUUCUGCUUAAUUCCGCCAUUACUUCCUCCCUUGAUGCUUCUGAAACUGUCUCCUCAGCAGAUGAUCCCUGCAUUAGUUGGCGGAGCUGAUGGUGUUCCCUGUUUUACCCUGUGGUCUCAUUUCCGGAUGCUGCUACCAAUGCCCGUCUCUAUGGCUCCCUGCCCACGUGUGCAGCCCCGUCACUGAGAGGGAAGUGGCUGGAGAGGUGUCCAGAUCAUUGUGAAUGAAGUCAUCUGUGAAACCAUGGGAGAGAGAUUUGAUAUCUGCUUCCCUUUCAAAUGAAAGGAAAAGAGUGGGGUGAGAGAGGGCGGCACUCCCCAGACAGGCCCUGACCACACCCUGGCCCCACGCCUCAGCAGAACAACUCUGAACCUCUAUGGACUCACAGGGGCGAGGUCGGGGCAAGGAGACUCAGGGCCUGCGCUGCUCACCGGGUGAGAAGUCACAGCUGGUUAGGAGGCCACAGGUAAGCAGAGGUGCGAGCCACCAGGGACGGGGUGAGUUAUUCACAGGUGAAUGAGCUAGGACGAGGCAACAGCACGCAGGCCACGCCUCGCCAACCCAUGGGUCCUCAACAGGAUUUUGGUGACACGCAACACCCCUCUGGCUCCUGCUCUGAUCCAUGAUGGUGAGGGAGGUUCCCACGGUCACGCGUGUGCUGGGAUUCUGCUCUUUACGCCGUCCCCGGGCAACACAGACAUCAGCUCUUCUCUCCUCCAGCUGAGCAAAUGUAAGCUGUCCAGGAGAAUCCAUCCCAGCUGCUAACAAAAUCUUCAGACGAGAGUCAGUCUGAUUCGGAGUGGAAUGAAAUGAGCAUUCGGCAAUACCUCCGUGUGCCAGUGCAGCUGAGUUCUCGACGGCAAUGUCGCUGAUGGCGAGAUUCCGGGCCAUCCAUUUAUCCUGUGUGGAGGCUGACAGGGACGCAUGCCUCAUCUGCUGCCAAGACACUGGGUUCCCUUGAGGGGACUCUGUCGACAUAACUCACCCUGUCCCGGGUGGCUCGCACCUCUGCUUACCUGUGGCCUCCUAACCAGCUGUGACUUCUCACCUGAUGACUUGGAAUCCUGGCCUUUUAGGAUAGAAAGAGAACACAGAGAUCCCGGCCCAUCAAGCAGGCCCCAGAAACAUGGGCAGCAGCAGGAGAGUGCCCAAGCUCCUGGCAGGGUGGGUCCAACCCUGUGUCGUGCCCCUGAUUCAGGCGUUGAAGCCUCAACUCCAGAUGCUGGCAUGAGGAGGUGGUUCCUGGGGAGGUGAUUUGGGUUAGAUGGGGUCCUGAGGGUGAGGCCCUCACGAUUAGAAGAGAAAGAGACCGGGCUCUUGCUCUCUGCCACACGAGGACACAGAAAGCGCCAUCUACAAGCCAGGAAGGGGCCUUCAUGGCAAUCCUAGUGGGCUGGAUCUUGGUCUUUGGUUUCCAGCCUUGAGAACUGAGAAAUAAAC
RNAcentral lists this long non-coding RNA (1774 nucleotides) under Homo sapiens (human). RNAcentral's name for it is "HSALNT0157371". Lineage: Eukaryota; Metazoa; Chordata; Mammalia; Primates; Hominidae. The record is from RNAcentral.